Molecule: ribosomal RNA, 295 nt
Filed under: uncultured bacterium
Lineage: Bacteria
Description: partial 16S ribosomal RNA
Rfam family: Bacterial small subunit ribosomal RNA
Source: RNAcentral
GACGGCCUACGGGGGGCAGCAGUGGGGAAUAUUGCACAAUGGGGGAAACCCUGAUGCAGCGACGCCGCGUGAGUGAGGAAGUAUUUCGGUAUGUAAAGCUCUAUCAGCAGGGAAGAAAAUGACGGUACCUGACUAAGAAGCCCCGGCUAACUACGUGCCAGCAGCCGCGGUAAUACGUAGGGGGCAAGCGUUAUCCGGAUUUACUGGGUGUAAAGGGAGUGUAGACGGAAUAGCAAGUCUGAUGUGAAAACCCGGGGCUCAACUCCGGGAGGGCAUUGGAAACUGUUGAUCUAGA